This 1366-nucleotide long non-coding RNA is filed under the name Brassica napus (rape). RNAcentral's name for it is "long non-coding RNA (BNAP_LNC012549)". The record is from RNAcentral. Lineage: Eukaryota; Viridiplantae; Streptophyta; Magnoliopsida; Brassicales; Brassicaceae.
CCCUGCAUAGGGCUAAACCUAAACCCUGCCCUAGGGCUAAACCCUAAACCCUGCUCUAGGGUUAAACCCUAAACCCUGUCCUAGGGUUAAACCCUAAAUCCUGUCGAGGGUUAAACCCUAAACCCUGUCGAGGGUUAAACCCUAAACCCUGUCUUAGGGUUAAACCCUAAACCCUGUCGAGGGUUAAAUCCUAAACCCUGCAUAGGGCUAAACCCUAAACCCUGUCCAAGGGCUAAACCAUGCCUAGGGUUAAACCCUAAAUCCUGUAUGAGGGCUAAACCCUAAACCAUGCAUAGGGCUAAACCCUAAACCCUGCCCUAGUGCUAAACCCUAAACCCUGCCCUAGGGUUAAACCCUAAACCCUGACCUAGGACUAAACCCUAAACCCUGCCGAGGGUUAAGGUUAAACCCAAAACCCAAAACCCUAAACUCUGCCGAGGGUUAGGGUUAAACCCUAAACCCUAAACCCUAAACCCUGUCGAGGGUUAAUCCCUAAACCCUGUCUUAGGGUUAAACCCUAAACCCUGUCGAGGGUUAAACCCUAAAACCUGCAUAGGACUAAACCCUAAACCCUGCCCUAGGGCUAAAUCCCAAACCCUGCCGAGGGUUAGGGUUAAACCCUAAACCCUAUCAUGCCACUGGGCUAAACCCUAAACCAUGUCCUAGGGCUAAACCCUAAACCCUGCCCUAGGGCUAGGGUUAAACCCCAAACCCUAUCCUAGGGUUAAACCCUAAACCCUUUCCAAGGAUAGGGUUAAACCCUAAACCCUGUCCUAGGGUUAAACCCUAAACCCUGUCGAGGGUUAAACCCUAAACCCUGUCUUAAGGUUAAACUCUAAAUCCUGUCGAGGGUUAAAUCCGAAACCCUGGAAAGGGCUAAACCCUAAACCCUGUCUUAGGGCUAAACCCUGCCUAGGGUUAAACCCUAAACCCUGUAUGAGGGCUAAACCCUAAACCAUGCAUAGGGCUAAACCCUAAACCCUACCUUAGGGCUAAACCCUAAGCCCUGCCCUAGGGUUAAACCCUAAAUCCUGCUCUAGGGCUAAACCCUAAACCCUGCUGAGGGUUAAGGUUAAACCCAAAACCCUAAACCCUAAACUCUGCUGAGGGUUAGGGUUAAGCCCUAAACCCUAGGGUUAAACCCUAAACCCUGUCCUAUUGUUAAACCCUAAACCCUGUCGAGGGUUAAACCCUAAACCCUCUCUUAAGGUUAAACCCUAAACCCUGUCGAGGAUUAAACCCUAAACCCUGCAUAGGACUAAACCCUAAACCCUGUCCUAGGGAACCCUGCCGUAGAGUUAAACUCUAAACCCUGCCGAAGGUUAAACCCUAAACCCUGACCUAGGGCUAAACCCUAAACCCUGCC